Oncorhynchus keta (chum salmon) is the source of this 233-nucleotide long non-coding RNA. RefSeq lists it as uncharacterized. The record is from RefSeq and is a predicted model, not a curated record. The transcript has 3 exons. NCBI's taxonomy places the organism in Eukaryota, Metazoa, Chordata, Actinopteri, Salmoniformes, Salmonidae.
UGUAUCUUUACCUCAAGAGGAUUCAUUUUCUAUUCUAAGGUACUGUAUCUUUACCUCAAGAGGAUUCAUUUUCUAUUCUAAGGUACUGUAUCUUUACCUCAAGAGGAUUCAUUUUCUAUUCUAAGGUACUGUAUCUUUACCUCAAGAGGAUUCAUUUUCUAUUCUAAGGUACUGUAUCUUUACCUCAAGAGGAUUCAUUUUCUAUUCUAAGGUACUGUAUCUUUACCUCAAGA